Molecule: long non-coding RNA, 1201 nt
Organism: Homo sapiens (human)
Lineage: Eukaryota; Metazoa; Chordata; Mammalia; Primates; Hominidae
Exons: 2
Source: RefSeq, a predicted model, not a curated record
GGAGCCAGCCACACCUGCAAGCUCACUCUGUCUGUGGACUGUACCAUUAGUUUCUGAGCCAGUUUGAGUUUCAGUCACUUUCAACCAAGAGUCUUGACCAAUCUAGUAAGUCAAGGAGCUGUGUAUGGAAGAAGAGGAAGCGAAGAGUUUAAAGCAGGUUGAUAAAAAUCUCAAACCUAAGCCUAAGCAUAUGGCUUAGCCUUUAUUCUGUAGAGAGCAGGGAGCCAUCCAGGCAUUCAGAGGAGGGGAUUAUUGGGAGUAAUGAUUUAGGGAAUCAGUCUGGCAAGAAUGUCCAGGAUGGAGUGCCCUGCAGCAAACCCCAAGAACCCAGGAGAGAAGGGCUUGUAUUGCAGGGCUUGGCACAAGGAGGCUUAAGAAACAUGUGAAGCAAUAAAUCAAGGAAGAAAAGAGGUCAAUGGUAACAGCUGUAUGAAGGCAAAAUUGUUCAACCCAUGGAAGAACUUCCCAAAAAUCAGAACCACCUCCUAUGUCAACAUGCACCUGUCUGAGAUGGAGAGCUGAGCUGUACUUCCCGGGAGGGGUCUCAAAGGGUACGGGCCCACAAGACUUCUGAGGACACUUCUUUUCCUGCUUCCUGAAAUGUGUACUCAAAUCAGACUACAGAAAAAAAUGAUAGGGUUGCAUAUUUUCUUUUUUUCCUUCCUCAUUAAAAACUCUCAACAAUACUACGUAUCAGAAGAAAGACAUUCAAAUAUGCUGUACUCAGCAAUUCAAAUUGGUGUUGAAGGUAAAACAUCUCCUAUCAUUUGAGGAAUUCCUCCUAACCAGAAUUCAACAGGCAGGCUGCCAAUUCAUCAAGCUCCAGGAGACACCGUGUCAUUCUGUGAAAGACGAGAGUGUAAAUAUCUACAGCCAAAUCUCCACUAAUGCACAUCUUGGGAAGGUCUUUUGCCAAAAGACAUCUAAAGACUUUUUUUAAAAAAACUAUCAUCUUCCAGAUAAGAGUUACUUGGAAGGGAACAAAAUCUACUUAUUCAUUUAGCAACAAUUUAUUAAAUGACUUCUCUGUGGCAGACUUGGGGUCAUGUCAGCUCAAGGCUGUUCUAAGAGGAAAAGGGGAGGGAGAAGCCUGAAAUGUCCCUGUGAUCUUACCCGGUGUUCAUUGAUGAGAAGGUCCCGUGCAGCAUUAAAUAUCAGCGUGUGGAGGUGCUUUGAAUAAAACACCAAGGUGUAAUCAUAA